RNAcentral lists this ribosomal RNA (498 nucleotides) under uncultured bacterium. RNAcentral describes it as "partial 16S ribosomal RNA". It matches the Rfam family "Bacterial small subunit ribosomal RNA", at positions 30 to 523 of the family's 1533-position model. The record is from RNAcentral.
AUUGAACGCUGGCGGCAUGCCUUACACAUGCAAGUCGAACGGUAACAGGUCUUCGGAUGCUGACGAGUGGCGAACGGGUGAGUAAUACAUCGGAACGUGCCUAGUAGUGGGGGAUAACUACUCGAAAGAGUGGCUAAUACCGCACGAGAUCUACGGAUGAGAGCAGGGGAUCGCAAGACCUUGUGCUACUAGAGCGGCCGAUGGCAGAUUAGGUAGUUGGUGGGAUAAAAGCUUACCAAGCCGACGAUCUGUAGCUGGUCUGAGAGGAUGAUCAGCCACACUGGGACUGAGACACGGCCCAGACUCCUACGGGAGGCAGCAGUGGGGAAUUUUGGACAAUGGGCGCAAGCCUGAUCCAGCAAUGCCGCGUGCAGGAUGAAGGCCUUCGGGUUGUAAACUGCUUUUGUACGGAACGAAAAGCCCCGGGUUAAUACCCUGGGGUCAUGACGGUACCGUAAGAAUAAGCACCGGCUAACUACGUGCCAGCCGCCGCCGUAA